UAAAUCUGCUCAGGUAACCGCUUGCAUCCACACAUACACGCGCGCGUUUCUAAAAUCUCACCCUUUUUCGUUUUUUUUUGGAAUCAAUCCGUCGUCUGUCGUCGUUGCUGUCCGUCGAUAAAAAAAAUUUUUUCUAGUUGUUGGGCUUUCUAUCCCUGGCGCUCGCCUCUCGCAUGUGUGUCUGCGCGUGCUUGUGCGGCCGUUUCUCACCCCGUCUUCGACGUGCGCGUGCGUGUUUCUGUGUGUGUGUGCGGGCCCUCACACACCUCCCCUACCCCACUCCACACUCUCUCUACUGCAUGGUUGCUUCCAUCACCACCGCCGUCACCAAUCCCCCUCCCCCUCCAAUUCCUUCAUUAUUGUUGCAUCCUUUUUUGUUUUUCGUAUUUGGUUGGCUAGUUUGCCGUUUCUCCUUGUGCGCUCUCUGUCUGUCGUCGCGCCUGCUGACCCCCCUCCUCCCCCAACACCUCUAAAGCACGUAGUUUUGGUCCUCAAACCCUUCAACACCUCCACGCUCUCCGCUGCGUCUCUACCGCCAUCACGAUUGUGCUCACUCGAUCGCCAAGCCCUGCCCUCGCACUCCCUGUCGUUCGAUCUUCGCAAUGUCAGGCUCGGAGGCGCUGAAUCACACACCGGACCGGUUUAUAUUCUUGCCGUUCCGCCUGGGCGAAAAGGACGUCCCGGACUGGUCGCUGUGCUCGCGGUACAUUGCCACGUACCACUCGAGCAACAACACGACCUCCGUCGAUGACGCCAUCAAAUCCAUGGCGGCGUACCACAACACGAUUGUGAAGACGUGCACCCUCCAUGAGUCGAAGCGGACGCCGAAUGAGAGCUUCAUCAAGCACACACUACUGCGUUACUGCCACCUGGUGGGGCAGGCUCAGGCCCACCUGCCGCUGCACAGCGGGCACGUGAGCAAAAACCUAAAGUUCGUCUGGUGUGACAGCUUCGAUGAAUCAACAAAGUAUGAGAGCACGAAUUCGAACUCGGAGCUGGUGAGCUGCGUGUACAACCUAGCCGCCUCGUACGUUUACGUGGCGGCGACGCAGGCGCACACGGGGUCGAUGGAUGAGGUGAAAGAGGCGUACAAGCACUUCCAGAACGCUGCCGGCUACUAUGAAAUGGUCACCUCGAUGCUGGAUCGUCUGCCACCGGACCAGCUCACGAAGGGCGACAUGAAGCGGGACUCGCUGGCGAUGCUCACGCGGCUGUGUCUCGCCCAGGCUCACCACUGCGGCUACCUCAAGGCAGAGGAGACGAUGAAAGGAAAGCAUGAUAUGCUCUCCAAGAUUGCCGCGGAGGCGGCGAAGCAGUAUGAGGACGUUCUCUCCUCCUUCAAGACCUCGGUGUGGCUGACGAAGAGGACGGCCAACGCGAAGGAGGUCGAGGCCCACCUCGGCGCCGACGUCUGCAUCUUCAAGGCGCGCGCCCACCUUCACCUCGGCGUCAAGAAUGCGGAAGAAGGCGAAAUGGGCGUGGCCAUCGCGCACUACCGAAAGGCAAAGGCGCACCUAAUGAAGCUGCCCCGCAUGACGACGCAGUCGCUGACGGUGUGGGUCAACAGCAUCGUCACCAGCGCCAACACGGCCGAGGACAAGGCGGAGAGAGCAAACACGUCCGUCUACUUCGCCCGCAUUCCGAAGGAGGUACCGGAGCCGGAGGGGUUGCCCCGCGCACUUGGCAUCGCAACGGAGCACCCGAGUUUUGUGCGUUUUGUGUCGACGCGCGGCGAAGACCCCUUUUUCGGGAUUGUUCCCGCGCACAUCGCGAAGACAGUGAGCACCUGGCGCGAGAAGCAGCGCAACCUGGUCAAUGUCUGCACCGCCGCCGCCGCCCACGCGCGCAAGAGCACGCAGACGAAGUUGCAGACAUUGGGGGUGGUGGCGGCCAUUCAAGCAAUGUCUGGCGAGUUCGAGGGUCGCGGCCGCGUGCCGGAGCCGCUACGCUCGAGCAUUCUGAAGCUGCGCGAGGAGAACAAGAGCCAAAGUGGGGCCACCUACAGCGUGACUGACAUCCUCAUGAGCAACGUGAACACGUGCAGUGAAAUGUACCAAGUCGCGGAUAGCAAGCUGAAGGAGGUGAGCGCGGAGUUGGAGAAGGACAAGAUGACGGAUAGGCGCUAUGUCGAGGCUUAUGGGGAGAAGAUGUGGCGUGCCGUGCACCCCGCCGCCGACCAAACACCGGACUACUGCGCCAUCUCGGCCGCCAUCAGCGAGCACGAGAAGGGUCUGCAGCAGUGGUUAGUGACGCCGUUCAACGAGGCGAAGAAGACACUAGAGGAGAACAUGCGCAAUAUCGCACGCCUGGACUGGCCGAUCGCCGAUUUGGACGCGCUGAUGCCGUUCGUGGAGACGAAGGAGGCACGCCAGCAGUCAGGCAAGGUCAUGGAGUUAGUGGCGAAGUUGAAGGAGUUAGUGGAGGCAAAGGUGCGCAUUGAAAGCGAGCAAGCGGCGGAGGAAAAGGUCCUGCACGAUAAGCUGGAGUCUGACGACGUCGUUUUCGGAAUUUCCUCCGUCGAGUCGACGCAGCGCGACACGAUACUGGAGAAGGCCUCCAAAGACAUCUCGGACGUGAUCGAGAAGGUGAACGAGAAGGUGCGGCAAGAGCGGGAGCUGGUGCCCAAGGCCGAGGAGUUGAUGGAGCAGAUUGGCACUCUACAGAGUACUGACCCUAUCUCUGCAGAAAUUCAGAAGGUGUCUAACGGGCUCGAAAACGCUUGCUCCAUCUAUCAGGAGCUCAUGAAGGACUUCGCUAGCAUGGUGCAGUACGGCUCCAAGGCCGUAGACGAGAUCGAGGCCACUCUCAGAAACGCCAAGUCCUACACGAUGAGUCGCGAGCUUCAGGCGCAGGAGGUGCAGAGCCGUCUGGAUGAGCAGAUCGCGGCGAAGAUGAGUCAGAUGCAAGACGCGGAGAGCCAAAUUGCCGAAUCGCGGCGGCGCCAAGAAAUCCUACAGCAGCAGAUUGCCUCGCUGGAGCAGCAAGUGACGCAGCAGCCCGCAUACCAGUACCCACCGGCGCCUCUGCACCAGCAGCUACCUCAGCCACCGCAGCAGCCGUACCAGCCGCUGUACCAGCCGCCGCCACAGCAACACGAGUACCACCGCAUGGCCCCAGCACCGUCCGCGGCAUACCAGUACCCUCCCCCGGUCAUGCAGCAGCCACCGCUUCAGCAGGAGCCGCCUCUUCCGCCGUCGUACGAUCAACUCAGCAGCAUGGCCUCCGUACCAGUGGCACAGCCACCACCACCACCACCGCAGCAGACGAAUGCGUACCAGUAUCCACCGCCAUCACUGCAGCAACCUGUUAACUCAGGCUGUCCCUCGUACAAACCGCCAUUUACACUCUAGACAGUGCAUGCGCAUGGAACCUCCCCCCUCGCGCUUCCUCUGCCUCUAGCCACAAGCAUGCAUGCAUGUGCACGCUCGGCUCACAUGGUGCUGUGUGCCUUAUUCACCUCGCCCCUCGACACUUCCUUUGCGGUUUUCCUUUUCGCGUUCUCUCUCGCUCUUGAUGAUGACGGCCACCUCAGUCCGUGACAUCACAGGGCCCAGUACCCGCUCUUUCUGGGGAAGUCAAGCAGCCCGCACAGUCUUCCCUCGGGGGUACGGACUGGCGGACUCGUGGCGCCGGCGGACAGGUCGUUGCUGGCGCCGUGCCGAAGAGACGUGUGACCAUGGUGAUCACGCUUGUGCCGGCUCACUACGCAUCGUGUCGACCAUUUCAACAGGUGUACACACCCGCCUGCUGUUUUUCGGCAUUCGCGGCGUUGCAGUGAUGUCGAGCGUCGUUCUGGGCUUAGCCUGCGGUGUACGCAGUGGCAUUGCGGUGGGCUGAGCGGCGCCAAGCGGUGUUGGUCGGCCCUGCUGCUUGGCAUAGCCGUGGUGCAGCAGAGGCAAGGUGAAGCCGUGAUUGUACGUGCGUAUGUCUGCUGACUUGCUCGUAUUUGGGAUAUAAUGGGCACGUUGAAGAAGGCAAGCCAAAAAGAAAGGAACGGUCUCUUAGCUCGCGAUCGCCGGCCGUCAUUCAACGGUAGGCGCCUCAGAGGAUCACCGUGACGGUGGGGGUAGCGUCGUCGUCUCUUGUGACCUUCGUCUUUUUGUUUUUUUUUUGUUUGUGCGGGCUCGUGAGGAGAUGUCGCCGUCACCCCUCCCCAUCCCACCACCACCAGUCAACUGUAUCUCCAUCUCAGGCUGCAGAUUAUCUGCGAAUGGUUGUGGGAAUGUAUGUGUAUGUUUCUGAAGUCUUCGCGGCGGCGCACGCAUCGUUUUCAGCUCGUCAGCUGACGUCACGUCUCUUCUCUCUUUUUUUUUCGCCCUUCGCCAUGACCGCGUGCUGUUCUGCCCUCCACACGCACCUCACCCUGUCUCUCUCUUCUCUCUUCACUGUCGAUUGUGUGGUUGCUAGCGUUUUAUCCAUCGCGGUUGUGUGCUUCUGUGUCCCGCGCACCCUCUCGCUACUUUCCGCAGUUGUUGUAGUUCCCACCCAAACGCCGAAAAGAAGCAGAGCCGAGCACACGUCCCAUACUGCAGCUUACUGAACCCUUCUCACUGUGAAUAUUUCUGCGUCCUUGAUGCGCUGCACCUCGGCGGCCUCAUUUUAUGUUGCUACUAUCACGCAUGCAGCUGUGCGUGUGGCACACGCGCAAGAAUACAUCCGCUGGCUAAGGGAAAUGCGUGUGUUCUCGACUAUCUGCUUGCUUUUAAACGCACAUGCACACACAUCCCACUCUGCCCACCCUCCGUCUCUCGUGUGCCACGUAUACCUGCUCGCCUUUUCUUUGUUGUUGUUUGCUUGUUUGAUGUUACCGUUGGCAGUCUUUGAUGUAUGCGAAGGGUUUCUUGACGGUCACGCAAUCAUGUCUUCUGUGCACAUCUGCUUGCGCGGCUAGUCAUCGCGUCGAGGCGAGCUCUUCGCAUCUCCCACACCCUUGUUGUUGGCGUCUUUGUAUGUGGGUCUGUAUGCGCGGGCGUGUUCUCACUGCCCCUCGUCGCUCUUCUUCGUUCUCGGUGCUGGAGCGCCCUGCGCCAUCACUCCUCGUGCCGUCCUUCUUAUAUCCAUGUUACCGUUGGGCUGAUGGACUGGGGUGGAGUGGGCCCGCUGCGUUGUUGGCGUCAUCUCUCUGUCUCUCUCCCCCUCGAGAGGAAGAGAGAGACAGAGAGACAACAUGAAUAAAGCAGGCAAAUGUGUGCGUUGGUUUAUGUUCACAUGUGCUGCAGAGGCACGCAACAGCUCCCCUCUGCUCCUCCUCACUGUUUCGCUUUUUUCAUUUCCUGGCUAGUUGCGAUGACUGUGAAUCUUUGUGAGCCUGUGAGGGCAUGCCCGAUAUUCACUCGUGUGUGCAGGCUGCGUCGCUCGCGCCUCUUCUCCCUCGAGCAUGUGUUUGGCUGUCGCUCUUCCCUGUUUAUUCACUCACCGCUCUCCUCCUCGUCCUUUGAGCUGCAUACUCGUGUGUCUUCUGUACGUGGUGCUCACGUCUCGCUGC
Molecule: unclassified non-coding RNA, 5485 nt
Filed under: Leishmania donovani
Lineage: Eukaryota; Euglenozoa; Kinetoplastea; Trypanosomatida; Trypanosomatidae
Description: gene:LdHU3.27.2370(CDS-product:BRO1-like_domain/A LIX_V-shaped_domain_binding_to_HIV_putative)
Source: RNAcentral